RNAcentral lists this ribosomal RNA (254 nucleotides) under uncultured bacterium. RNAcentral describes it as "partial 16S ribosomal RNA". It matches the Rfam family "Bacterial small subunit ribosomal RNA", at positions 524 to 776 of the family's 1533-position model. The record is from RNAcentral.
UACGGAGGGUGCAAGCGUUGUCCGGAAUCACUGGGCGUAAAGGGCGCGUAGGCGGCUCAUGAAGGCUGUGGUGAAAGUCCGGGGCUCAACCUCGGAUCGGCCGUGGCGACUCGUGGGCUGGAGCACUGUAGAAGGCGGGUGGAAUUCCGGGUGUAGCGGUGGAAUGCGUAGAGAUCCGGAAGAACACCGGUGGCGAAGGCGGCCUGCUGGGCAGUGGCUGACGCUGAGGCGCGACAGCGUGGGGAGCAAACAGG